Molecule: ribosomal RNA, 302 nt
Filed under: uncultured bacterium
Lineage: Bacteria
Description: partial 16S ribosomal RNA
Rfam family: Bacterial small subunit ribosomal RNA
Source: RNAcentral
GCAGCCGCCGCGGGAAUACAGAGGGUGCGAGCGUUAAUCGGAUUUACUGGGCGUAAAGCGUGCGUAGGCGGCUUUUUAAGUCGGAUGUGAAAUCCCUGAGCUUAACUUAGGAAUUGCAUUCGAUACUGGGAAGCUAGAGUAUGGGAGAGGAUGGUAGAAUUCCAGGUGUAGCGGUGAAAUGCGUAGAGAUCUGGAGGAAUACCGAUGGCGAAGGCAGCCAUCUGGCCUAAUACUGACGCUGAGGUACGAAAGCAUGGGGAGCAAACAGGAUUAGAUACCCCAGUAGUCCCUGUCUCUUAUAC